UACGUAGGGGGCAAGCGUUAUCCGGAAUUACUGGGUGUAAAGGGUGCGUAGGUGGUAUGACAAGUCAGAAGUGAAAACCCAGGGCUUAACUCUGGGACUGCUUUUGAAACUGUCAGACUGGAGUGCAGGAGAGGUAAGCGGAAUUCCUAGUGUAGCGGUGAAAUGCGUAGAUAUUAGGAGGAACAUCAGUGGCGAAGGCGGCUUACUGGACUGAAACUGACACUGAGGCACGAAAGCGUGGGGAGCAAACAGG
RNAcentral lists this ribosomal RNA (253 nucleotides) under Anaerostipes hadrus ATCC 29173 = JCM 17467. RNAcentral describes it as "Anaerostipes hadrus DSM 3319 partial 16S ribosomal RNA". It matches the Rfam family "Bacterial small subunit ribosomal RNA", at positions 524 to 776 of the family's 1533-position model. The record is from RNAcentral. Lineage: Bacteria; Bacillati; Bacillota; Clostridia; Lachnospirales; Lachnospiraceae.